AUGUUCCAGGAGUUGAAGUUAAUAUUUCAAGCAAAUGCUCGGAUUGAGAGAUAUGAAGUCUCCAAUAAGUUCUAUAGCUGUAAGAUGGAGGAGAAUAGUUCUGUCAGUGAACAUAUACUCAAAAUGUCUGGGUAUAAUAAUCACUUGAUUCAACUGGGAGUUAAUCUUCCUGAUGAUAGUGUCAUUGACAGAAUUAUUCAAUCACUGCCACCAAGCUACAAGAGCUUCAUGAUGAACUAUAAUAUGCAAGGGAUGGACAAGACUAUUCCCGAGCUCUUCGCAAUGCUAAAAGCUGCGGAGGUAGAAAUCAAGAAGGAGCAUCAAGUGUUGAUGGUCAAUAAGACCACCAGUUUCAAGAAAAAGGGCAAAGGGAAGAAGAAGGGGAACUUCAAAAAGAACAGAAAACAAGUUGCUGCUCAAGAGAAGAAACCCAAGUCUGGACCUAAGCCUGAAACUGAGUGCUUCUACUGCAAGCAGACUGGACACUGGAAGCAGAACUGCCCCAAGUAUUUGGCGGAUAAGAAGGAUGGCAAAGUGAACAAAGGUAUAUGUGAUAUACAUGUUAUUGAUGUGUACCUUACUAAUGCUCGCAGUAGCACCUGGCUAUUUGAUACUGGUUCUGUUGCUAAUAUUUGCAACUCGAAACAGGGACUACGGAUUAAGCGAAGAUUGGCUAAGGAAGAGGUGACGAUGCGCGUGGGAAAUGGUUCCAAAGUCGAUGUCAUCGCGGUCGGCACGCUACCUCUACAUUUACCAUCGGGAUUAGUUUUAGACCUGAAUAAUUGUUAUUUGGUGCCAGCGUUAAGCAUGAACAUUAUAUCUGGAUCUUGUUUGAUGCGAGACGGUUAUUCAUUUAAAUCAGAGAAUAAUGGUUGUUCUAUUUAUAUGAGUAAUAUCUUUUAUGGUCAUGCACCCUUGAAGAGUGGUCUAUUUUUAUUAAUCUCGAUAGUAGUGAUACACAUAUUCAUAAUGUUGAAGCCAAAAGAUGCAGAGUUGAUAAUGAUAGUGCAAAUUAUUUGUGGCACUGCCGUUUGGGUCAUACUGGUGUAA
This 1050-nucleotide ribosomal RNA is filed under the name Triticum aestivum (bread wheat). RNAcentral's name for it is "partial small subunit ribosomal RNA". The record is from RNAcentral. Lineage: Eukaryota; Viridiplantae; Streptophyta; Magnoliopsida; Poales; Poaceae.